Molecule: transfer RNA, 82 nt
Filed under: Blattella germanica (German cockroach)
Lineage: Eukaryota; Metazoa; Arthropoda; Insecta; Blattodea; Blattellidae
Description: tRNA-Leu (CAG) (tRNA-Leu-CAG-10-1)
Rfam family: tRNA
About the family: Transfer RNA (tRNA) molecules are approximately 80 nucleotides in length. Their secondary structure includes four short double-helical elements and three loops (D, anti-codon, and T loops).
Source: RNAcentral
GGUAGCGUGGCCGAGCGGUCUAAGGCGUUGGUUUCAGGUACCAGUCUUUUCGGAGACGUGGGUUCGAAUCCCACCGCUGCCA